This 620-nucleotide small RNA is filed under the name Pan troglodytes (chimpanzee). Its description in RNAcentral is "retained intron". The record is from RNAcentral. Lineage: Eukaryota; Metazoa; Chordata; Mammalia; Primates; Hominidae.
UUUGCCAUGUUGGCCAGGCUGGUCUUGAACUCCUGACCUCAGGUGACCCGCCCACCUCUGCCUCCCAAAGUGUGGGGAUUAUAGGCGUGAGCCACUGCACCUAGAUGUCAGUUUGAUUCUUAUGACGCCACUUCCCUUCUUUAUACAUCCCCUUCCCCACAUCUUGUUUGGUAUUUAAUGGAUUUCUCUUCUUUUCCAAAGGAUCUACCGCUACCAGUCUCAUGACUAUGCCUUCAGUAGUGUCGAAAAAUUACUUCAUGCUCUAGGAGGAGAUGACUUCCUUGGAAUGCUUAAUCGAACACUUCUUGAAACCUUGCAAAAGGCCGGCUUCUCUGAGAAGUUCCUCAAUGAAAUGAUUGCUCCUGUUAUGAGGGUCAAUUAUGGCCAAAGCACGGACAUCAAUGCCUUUGUGGGGGCAGUGUCACUGUCCUGUUCUGAUUCUGGCCUUUGGGCAGUAGAAGGUGGCAAUAAACUUGUUUGCUCAGGGCUUCUGCAGGCAUCCAAAAGCAAUCUUAUAUCUGGCUCAGUAAUGUACAUUGAGGAGAAAACAAAGACCAAGUACACAGGAAAUCCAACAAAGAUGUAUGAAGUGGUCUACCAAAUUGGAACUGAGACUCGUU